Molecule: ribosomal RNA, 253 nt
Filed under: uncultured bacterium
Lineage: Bacteria
Description: partial 16S ribosomal RNA
Rfam family: Bacterial small subunit ribosomal RNA
Source: RNAcentral
UACGUAGGGGGCAAGCGUUGUCCGGAUUUAUUGGGCGUGAAGAGCGUGUAGGCGGCCAUACAGGUCAGCUGUGAAAACUCGAGGCUCAACCUCGAGACGUCGGUUGAAACCGUAUGGCUAGAGUCCGGAAGAGGAGAGUGGAAUUCCCGGUGUAGCGGUGAAAUGCGCAGAUAUCGGGAAGAACACCCGUGGCGAAGGCGGCUCUCUGGGACGGUACUGACGCUGAGACGCGAAAGCGUGGGGAGCGAACAGG